GGGCUUCUUUAUUGGACAUUCAUUUUAUGUUCUUCCACUAUCAACACGUGUACACUAUUUCUUUCUACUUGCAAAUCACCAAGACUUUCUUACUUUGGUUUCUCCUCCUCUUUUCAAUUCUCUUUUCUCUUCUUUAUUUGCCAUUAAAUUUCACUCAAGAGGGCGACAAAGUAUUUGAAAAGAAGAAAUAUUUUAGGCCACAUCUAUUUCUUCUUGGAGCAAAAUUAGAUCUCACUACUUGAAAGGGAAAUUUUGAGGAAAUCGAUUCUAAAAAAGAUGGAGAUUGUUUCUCUUGCUCAAACGGAGAAAAUUUUGCUAUCUUAAUCAUGCUUUGGAAGUAUCUUCCUCAUUUUGGUACUUUUGGUUAUUUAAAAGAAUAAUUUUAGGAUUCUUAAUCGACACAACUUCAAUUGGUAUGAAGGACCAAUUAUUACAAGUUAGGGAGAAGGAAGUAAAAAAAUGGCAACAAAGUAAGGCAAUCCUGAAAUUCCCCAUUUUGGGAACGUCCAGUGCCAAUGUCAGUGAAUGAGUAAGUCACCAAUCCCUGGACUAUGUAAUGUGCUUUAUCUGCUGACUUCUCUUUCUAUUCAACCUCAAAAGCAGACCACUUUUUCAUCUGAUGCUGCAGUACAAACGAUCCUACAUCUGCAUAUGGAGUAGGCAUAAAGGUCAUUCAAAAGACAAUUACCAAAAAUAGUGUAAAUUGUCAUAUGCUUAAACCAACAUUGACAUAAAAGUAUGGAUUUGUCACCAUAGCAUUUUACUGUCCAAUACACUUUAUAAUUAGUGUCCGAAAAGAAAGGAUCCAUCCUAACAGCUUGAGAUCUUUGAUUAUCUAUAGACAAAAACAUAGUCAAAACCCAAAUAUAUGAAAAAGAUCAAUAUGAUCAAUGAAGUUACAAUAGUCCAGCUACCAUGAAUAAACAUGUAUAUCUCAUACAGAAAGCUUAUCUAAGAAGGAUUAAAAGAAUUUUGCAACGUUUCUGUGUACAUGAGAGCGCUUGGUGUACUCAUCUUCUCUUUAGCUUUGAAGUUAGUAUGCCUAAUUUGAAACACGAACAACUAAGCACUGAAAAUAAUAAAAUAAAGAGAAUUCAUCUUUGAAAUUAGGCCUACAAACUACAAAAAUAAAGAGAAGAUGAGUACACCAAACUUUGUUAUAUAAAGAGAAGCGUAGAAAAAUUCUUUCAAUUCAUUCUUAAAUACGCUUUCUGUGUCAGAUACACAUGUUUGUUCAUGGUGGCUGCACUAUUGUAACUUCAUUGAUCAUAUUGAUCUUUUUCAUAUAUUUGAGUUUUGACUAUGUUUUUGUCUCUAGGAAAUCAAAGAUUUCAAGCUGUUAGGACGGAGCCUUUCUUUUCUGGCACUAAUUGUAAAUUGUAUCGGACACUAAAAUGCUAUGGUAACAAAUCCAUACUUCUAUGUCAAGGAAGUAUCUUCCUCAUUUUGGUACUUUUGGUUACUGAAAAGAAUAAUUUUUGGUAUUCUCAUUCGACACAGCCUCAAUUGGUAUGAAGGACCAAUUAUUACAAGUUAGGUAGAAGAAAGUACAAAGAUGGUGCAGGCACAGGGAGACGAUAGAGCUACAGGAUCAUCGCUGCAGUUAUCCGGGCGUCCAGCAUUCAUCCGGUUUUGGUAGGUUCUCAUGCUUUCAAGGAUGCUGUUGUUUUAUAUUCUAGCUUAGUUUUAGAGUUGAGCUAGUGGAGCAUGUUUUACUAGCGUUUCUUUUCUGUUUUUAUUCAGACUAUGUAUUGGUGCCAUUUUGACA
Molecule: non-coding RNA, 1768 nt
Organism: Solanum lycopersicum (tomato)
Lineage: Eukaryota; Viridiplantae; Streptophyta; Magnoliopsida; Solanales; Solanaceae
Source: RefSeq, a predicted model, not a curated record